Molecule: ribosomal RNA, 231 nt
Filed under: uncultured bacterium
Lineage: Bacteria
Description: partial 16S ribosomal RNA
Rfam family: Bacterial small subunit ribosomal RNA
Source: RNAcentral
UACGGAGGGUGCGAGCGUUGUCCGGAAUCACUGGGCGUAAAGGGCGCGUAGGUGGCCCGUUAAGUGUGUGGUGAAAGCCCGGGGCUCAACCCCGGGUCGGCCAUGCAAACUGGGGGGCUGGAGCACGUGUAGAGGCAGGCGGAAUUCCGGGUGUAGCGGUGGAAUGCGUAGAGAUCGGAAGAACACCGGUGGCGAAGGCGGCCUGCUGGGCAGGUGCUGACACUGAGGCGC